This 812-nucleotide long non-coding RNA is filed under the name Gossypium raimondii (Peruvian cotton). Its description in RNAcentral is "long non-coding RNA (GRAI_LNC006064)". The record is from RNAcentral. Lineage: Eukaryota; Viridiplantae; Streptophyta; Magnoliopsida; Malvales; Malvaceae.
AAUGACCCCUCCAAUCAAGGAUUUGCUUCCAAGGUUGACACCGAUUCUGAAAAAUAGACAUGAGAAGGUCCAGGAGAACUGUAUUGAUCUUGUUGGCCGUAUCGCUGAUCGAGGUGCAGAGUUUGUACCAGCUAGGGAGUGGAUGAGGAUUUGUUUUGAGCUUCUUGAGAUGCUUAAAGCUCACAAGAAGGGUAUUCGAAGAGCUACUGUCAAUACCUUUGGAUAUAUUGCUAAAGCCAUUGGCCCACAAGAUGUCCUGGCAACUCUUUUGAACAAUCUCAAAGUGCAGGAACGCCAGAACCGUGUUUGCACAACUGUGGCUAUCGCAAUUGUUGCUGAAACAUGUUCACCUUUUACAGUUUUGCCAGCAUUGAUGAAUGAGUACCGUGUGCCAGAACUUAAUGUGCAGAAUGGUGUCUUGAAGUCUCUUUCCUUCCUUUUUGAGUAUAUUGGUGAAAUGGGAAAGGAUUACAUCUAUGCUGUGACUCCAUUACUUGAGGAUGCUCUUAUGGAUAGAGAUUUGGUUCACAGGCAAACUGCAGCUUCAGCUGUCAAGCACAUGGCUUUGGGUGUUGCCGGGUUAGGUUGUGAGGAUGCUUUAGUCCACUUGAUGAACUAUGUCUGGCCCAACAUAUUUGAGACUUCACCUCACGUAAUCAAUGCUGUAAUGGAAGCCAUCGAAGGGAUGAGGGUAGCCUUAGGUGCUGCAAUUGUGCUGAACUACUGUCUCCAGGGACUCUUCCAUCCUGCGCGUAAGGUUAGGGAAGUUUAUUGGAAGAUUUAUAAUUCACUCUAUAUUGGAUCCCAAGAUG